AAUGAACGUUGGCGGCAUGGAUUAGGCAUGCAAGUCGAGCGCGAAGUUUCAGCAAUGGAACUAAGAGCGGCGAAAGGGAGAGUAAUAGAUAGAUAGCUACCCUCGGGCCUGGGACAGCGGCGGGAAACUGCCGGUAAUUCCAGAUAACAUCCCCGGAUCAAAGGUUUACCACCUGAGGAGGCGUCUGUUUCCUAUCAGCUUGUUGGCGGGGUAACGGCCCACCAAGGCUACGACGGGUAUGGGGUGUGAGAGCAUGCCCCCACUCACUGGGACUGAGAUACUGCCCAGACACCUACGGGUGGCUGCAGUCGAGAAUCUUCGGCAAUGGGCGCAAGCCUGACCGAGCGAUGCCGCGUGCGGGAUGAAGGCCUUGGG
This 375-nucleotide ribosomal RNA is filed under the name uncultured bacterium. Its description in RNAcentral is "bacterial SSU rRNA". It matches the Rfam family "Bacterial small subunit ribosomal RNA", at positions 29 to 421 of the family's 1533-position model. The record is from RNAcentral.